RNAcentral lists this ribosomal RNA (120 nucleotides) under Helianthus annuus (common sunflower). Lineage: Eukaryota; Viridiplantae; Streptophyta; Magnoliopsida; Asterales; Asteraceae. The record is from RNAcentral.
GGUUGCGAUCAUACCAGCACUAAUGCACCGGAUCCCAUCAGAACUUCGCAGUUAAGCGUGCUUGGGCGAGAGUAGUACUAGGAUGCGUGACCCCCUGGGAAGUCCUCGUGUUGCAACCCC